This 497-nucleotide ribosomal RNA is filed under the name uncultured bacterium. Its description in RNAcentral is "partial 16S ribosomal RNA". It matches the Rfam family "Bacterial small subunit ribosomal RNA", at positions 28 to 507 of the family's 1533-position model. The record is from RNAcentral.
GAUGAACGCUGGCGGCGUGCCUAAUACAUGCAAGUCGAGCGAACAGACGAGGAGCUUGCUCCUCUGACGUUAGCGGCGGACGGGUGAGUAACACGUGGAUAACCUACCUAUAAGACUGGGAUAACUUCGGGAAACCGGAGCUAAUACCGGAUAAUAUAUUGAACCGCAUGGUUCAAUAGUGAAAGACGGUCUUGCUGUCACUUAUAGAUGGAUCCGCGCCGCAUUAGCUAGUUGGUAAGGUAACGGCUUACCAAGGCGACGAUGCGUAGCCGACCUGAGAGGGUGAUCGGCCACACUGGAUCUGAGACACGGUCCAGACUCCUGCGGGAGGCAGCAGUAGGGAAUCUUCCGCAAUGGGCGAAAGCCUGACGGAGCAACGCCGCGUGAGUGAUGAAGGUCUUCGGAUCGUAAAGCUCUGUUAUUAGGGAAGAACAAAUGUGUAAGUAACUAUGCACGUCUUGACGGUACCUAAUCAGAAAGCCACGGCUAACUACGUG